This is a long non-coding RNA of Solanum lycopersicum (tomato), 1558 nucleotides long. RefSeq lists it as uncharacterized. NCBI's taxonomy places the organism in Eukaryota, Viridiplantae, Streptophyta, Magnoliopsida, Solanales, Solanaceae. The record is from RefSeq and is a predicted model, not a curated record.
UAGCCCGCAAUCCACGUACUAAUGGGUUGGGUUUAAUGUUUUUUUCCCACAAAAAAUAGGUCAACCCAACCUAGUUGUUCGAAUUCCAAAGUCUCUAUGGCCUAGCCUAGACAGGAUGGACUAGUCUAUUUUUUUAAUCAAAAAGAAUAUAUUAUCUUUUUUUAAAAUAAAAAGUUGCGCAAGCCCAGUUUAUUGAAUCACAUUACAGAGGACUAGUCCCAAAGAGGACCCGAUCCAACACCUAUAAAGACUUCGAUAGGAAAAAAAAUAACAGAUACAAAAAGGGAAAUUGGGAAAGAGGAAAGCAUAUCGGAGGAACAUCAUCCCUUAUCGUCCAUCAUCAUCGUUCCUAUUCAGACAAGCAUUCUCCAGCAAGAUGAAACCACUCCAGCAAUAGAUCGAGUUGGGGGUGUAUUUCAUCUCGAACGUUGCCUAGUCUCACCAACAUCAUGAAAUCAUCCCCAUAACGGACUUCUCCAACUUAGGGUUCUUGAAUCGAAGCUUCGAAGCAGGUUGAGCCCAUCAAGGAGCUAAUACCACUAUUGAAAACCUGGCGACGAAAUUACUGCACCCUUCCUAGGUACACAUUUAUAUCCUGUCUAGGAUAUAAUGGCCCCAGAAUGAUCAUCGACAACAUCAUAUACUCUGGCUUCAUGCAAAUCCAUGGUGAUAAAUUAUAGUUUACCAACAUAAUAGGUCACGUACUAUGGAAAAUGCUCAUGGUCCGAAAUGGAUUGAAACCAUCACUUGAAAGGCCCAAUCAAAAAUUACGAGGAUCAUUUGAGAAGUUUGGAUGCAUAGAAUCAAAAUCCUUCCAAGCUUCUCCAUCAGCAGGAUGCCUUAAAUUCCCAUUAUUAGGUCAUUCAGAAUCAUGUCAUCUCAUUGCAACAGCUAUUUCAGGACACAAAAACAUUCUCUGAAGCCUAGGCUUUAAAGGGAAGUACCUUAAAAUCUUUGCUGGUGUUUUAGAGCUUGCACUAGUUGUGUCAUCACCCUCAUUGGACCAUCUAAAAGAUCCACACAAAAAGCAAUUAUCUUUAUCUGCAUUUUCAUUUCAAAAUAACAUGCAAUCAUUACGGCAUGCAUGUAUUUUUUCAUAGCCGAGACCCAAAUAUUUUAUUAUUUUUUUAGCUUUAUUGAAAGACUCGGGUAGUUGAGAAAAGGGAAAUGCUUAUUUUAACAAUUCUAACAGAUCAGUAAAAGCCACAUCACUCAACCCAUGUAGGUAUUUAAGAAAGUAUAAUCGAAUGAUGAAACUCAACUUAUUGAAGUUCUCACACCCCAGAUAUAACUCUUUUUUUCCUUCAUCCAGUAAUUUAAAAAAUCUCGUUGCAUCUUCAGAUAGCCCUUCUCUCUCUCCUUCUCCAUGACUUAUUUCAUCAUGAAGUACCAUCAAUAUCAUCAUGGUUGCAUGAAAGUUGUGUAUUUCGUGAGGAAACUCUCUCCCCGUGAAAAGUUCAUUUGUUGUAUCAUCCACAAAUUCAUUUACAAUCAAGUGAUCCUUUCACAACAUUUUUGUAAUGCCAAUAACGAUUGAUGCAUUUUUUGCUAGGCAUAA